CCCGCAGGAGGGCUCCUCAGGACCCCUCCGGAGCGGCGAAUAUUCCGAGGCAAGACCUGGUCUCAGGAGUAAGGAUGACGCGGAGAAAGGACAGGUAAUCAGUAGAUUGCAGAGUGAUGUAGUUCCCCCUUUCGUGAAAAGGAGGGAAGGACGCACGCAGGUCUCCAAGGCAUCUUCAAAGGUUUCAAUUCUGGUGCAACAAAUCCAUCGCCGCCCGCCAGCAGGACGGACGUCAUC
This 237-nucleotide long non-coding RNA is filed under the name Hordeum vulgare. RNAcentral describes it as "long non-coding RNA (HVUL_LNC018625)". The record is from RNAcentral. Lineage: Eukaryota; Viridiplantae; Streptophyta; Magnoliopsida; Poales; Poaceae.